GUUCGGAUCGCAGGCUGCAACCCGCCUGCGUGAAGUCGGAAUCGCUAGUAAUCGCGGAUCAGCAUGCCGCGGUGAAUACGUUCCCGGGCCUUGUACACACCGCCCGUCACACCAUGAGAGUCGGGAACACCCGAAGCCCGUAGCCUAACAGCAAUGAGGGCGCGGUCGAAGGUGGGUUCGAUAAUUGGGUGAAGUCGUAACAAGGUAGC
This 209-nucleotide ribosomal RNA is filed under the name uncultured bacterium. RNAcentral's name for it is "partial 16S ribosomal RNA". It matches the Rfam family "Bacterial small subunit ribosomal RNA", at positions 1291 to 1500 of the family's 1533-position model. The record is from RNAcentral.